This 468-nucleotide ribosomal RNA is filed under the name uncultured bacterium. RNAcentral's name for it is "partial 16S ribosomal RNA". It matches the Rfam family "Bacterial small subunit ribosomal RNA", at positions 28 to 507 of the family's 1533-position model. The record is from RNAcentral.
GACGAACGCUGGCGGCGUGCUUAACACAUGCAAGUCGAACGGAAAGGCCCUGCUUUUGUGGGGUGCUCGAGUGGCGAACGGGUGAGUGACACGUGAGUAACCUGCCCUUGACUUUGGGAUAACUUCAGGAAACUGGGGCUAAUACCGGAUAGGAGCUCCUGCUGCAUGGUGGGGGUUGGAAAGUUUCGGCGGUUGGGGAUGGACUCGCGGCUUAUCAGCUUGUUGGGGGGGUAGUGGCUUACCAAGGCUUUGACGGGUAGCCGGCCUGAGAGGGUGACCGGCCACAUUGGGACUGAGAUACGGCCCAGACUCCUACGGGAGGCAGCAGUGGGGAAUAUUGCACAAUGGGCGGAAGCCUGAUGCAGCAACGCCGCGUGCGGGAUGACGGCCUUCGGGUUGUAAACCGCUUUCGCCUGUGACGAAGCGUGAGUGACGGUAAUGGGUAAAGAAGCACCGGCUAACUACGUG